GUGGUGAUAGCUCAGAGGUAAAGUGUGUGCUUUCUAUGCACAAGGUCCUGGCUUCAAACUCCAGUACCCUCA
RNAcentral lists this transfer RNA (72 nucleotides) under Camelus bactrianus (Bactrian camel). It matches the Rfam family "tRNA". Rfam says of the family: Transfer RNA (tRNA) molecules are approximately 80 nucleotides in length. Their secondary structure includes four short double-helical elements and three loops (D, anti-codon, and T loops). Further hydrogen bonds mediate the characteristic L-shaped molecular structure. tRNAs have two regions of fundamental functional importance: the anti-codon, which is responsible for specific mRNA codon recognition, and the 3' end, to which the tRNAs corresponding amino acid is attached (by aminoacyl-tRNA synthetases). tRNAs cope with the degeneracy of the genetic code in two manners: having more than one tRNA (with a specific anti-codon) for a particular amino acid; and 'wobble' base-pairing, i.e. permitting non-standard base-pairing at the 3rd anti-codon position. RNAcentral also lists the same sequence under 2 other names. The record is from Rfam by way of RNAcentral. Lineage: Eukaryota; Metazoa; Chordata; Mammalia; Artiodactyla; Camelidae.